CCAGCACCCACUUCUCCCACUGAUGGUGGCUAAAUUUGCAUUUUAACUCAAUAAAUUCACUUUGCAUGCUGCAGAGACUCGACUGACUGGCUGGUUGGCUGGCAAAGGCAGCGAAACGGUGUUGUGCUCUAUAAAUCUGUUAGAGUCUAACGACUACAAGCUUCUGACUGGAAGGGAAAGAAGACGGCUUGGUAAUACAGCCCGCGGCAGCUAAGUCAUUUCCCAGCUACUGAUUUGCUGCCUUCGAGUGGAUCCACGAAUCCAUCGCCGGCUUAUGGGAUUACAGCAAGUAUACAUUUCCAAGACAGUAUAUGGUAUGAUCUGAAACUGGAGCGUUGCACGAUGAUGCCAAAGACUGAGCUCGGAGGACAGACCCCAUCUGCUCCCCAAAGAAACCCCCUCUUGUAAUGAGCGACCCAAUUAGGCAAAGUGAGUGGCGGUGAGCGAGAUGCAUAUGAACCACAGAACAAUUGAACAAUGUGCAGCCAGCAAUUAACCAAGAAACCUGCCACACCAGCCAGGCAUCAUAGAAGGCCAUAAAAAGAUGAUACCUCGUGGAGGCAGGGAAAAUCCAUUUCGUUAUGCGAAGGAAAAGGCGUGAAAAGCGAGCGCUUGACUUCAUAAUUGAUAUCAUAAACGUUUAUUUAUUUUCAGAAAAACAUAUGGGGAAGAAAGUCAAGAGACGAAGUCUUC
Molecule: non-coding RNA, 693 nt
Organism: Drosophila melanogaster (fruit fly)
Lineage: Eukaryota; Metazoa; Arthropoda; Insecta; Diptera; Drosophilidae
Source: Ensembl